RNAcentral lists this ribosomal RNA (332 nucleotides) under uncultured bacterium. RNAcentral's name for it is "bacterial SSU rRNA". It matches the Rfam family "Bacterial small subunit ribosomal RNA", at positions 568 to 898 of the family's 1533-position model. The record is from RNAcentral.
UGCGCAGGCGGUUUCGUAAGACAGAUGUGAAAUCCCCGGGCUUAACCUGGGAACUGCAUUUGUGACUGCGAGACUAGAGUACGGCAGAGGGGGGUAGAAUUCCACGUGUAGCAGUGAAAUGCGUAGAUAUGUGGAGGAAUACCGAUGGCGAAGGCAGCCCCCUGGGUCGAUACUGACGCUCAUGCACGAAAGCGUGGGGAGCAAACAGGAUUAGAUACCCUGGUAGUCCACGCCCUAAACGAUGUCAACUAGGUGUUGGGGGAGGAGACUUCCUUAGUACCGCAGCUAACGCGUGAAGUUGACCGCCUGGGGAGUACGGCCGCAAGGUUGAA